GUAAGAUUUUGUUUUAAAUUUUAUUUACUUCAGGCUAGGCGACAAGCUUUGCAAGAAGAGAUUGACAAAUUAUCUGGCAAAACUGGUACUUCUGAAAGUGAAGCUUCUCCAGAAACGAAACCAAGAUGUACUGGCACACAAUGGGACACAGCCACUUUUGAAAGUACAGAGCAGAAAAACAAGUUCUUGAGACUAAUGGGUGGAUUUAAGUCAUCAAAUCAGCCUCCAUCGUCUGGAAGCACUGGAAAGCAAAACAUGGUACUUAAUAAGGAAGAGGAACAAAACUUUAACAGGACUCUGCAGAAAGAAUUUGACAAAGCAUUGAACCUUCGGCAGCAUCGAGGAAUUGGCUUGGGUUUCCAGCCUUUUUCAAAUCCGGUUAACAAAACAUUUUUUAUAGACAAGUAUGCCUCAAAAUCAACGAAGUUCGAUUUCAAUUAGAUAAACUGAUCUUGGCACAGGAUUUACUUGAAGUAAUGCAAUGCUGUAUGGUAACAUUUUAAAGAGAGUCCAUAGGAGGUUUACAAGAAUAUCCUGGGGAUGAAGACUCAUCAUGUGAGGGACUCUGGGUCUGUAGUCCGAUGGAGUUAAGAAGGAAGAGAGACAACAAUUGCAAGAUGGCGAUGGCGAAGUAGGCUAAAAACAGUUUAUUUUUUUUCCUUUGUAUUUACCUUCCUGAGAGAGCUCGGUCGUGAAGGCAGGGGCGCCCACUGCAUCACGGCUCAUUACACAAUGGAGCACGGCAGCAGCCGAGGGCCUGGAUCGGAACAUUGACAGUCCGAGAUCAAGCCCAACCAAUGUGGCUGUGAAGGAAAUCCCCCAGCAUCUGUGGCAGCAAGAGCAGGCAGCCCAAGGAGUCACACAGAGUGGGCAAAAGCGGAGGCGAUUGAGCCCUUGUAGGGAGUGCAAGCCCUGCAGGGUUAAGGAUUUAAAGACUGUUAACACUUUCAAAAACCAAAAGAACUGCAGAUGCUGUAAAUCCGAGACAAAAAUGGAAACUACUGGGAAAGGUCAGCAGGUCUGGCAACAUCUGUGGAGAGAAUCAGAGUUAAAUGCUUCAGGUUCUUGAGGAAGGCUCACUUGACCCAAAACGUUAACUCCGAUUUCUCUCCACAGACGCUGCCAGGCCUGGUGAGCUUUUCCAGCAGUUUCUAUUUCUAUUUCUUUAUUUUUCUACUCGGUACCCAAAAUUUUGUGCCUAGAUGCCUUUGUAAUUAAGAUGGUACCAGGAAUGGCAACAUUGAUAUACUUUUCACUGCACUCAAAUGCUCCUGUGCUGAAUUACAGCUGAAAAUAAAAUCUAAUUCUAAUUCUAAUCAAUGCAAAGUUCCUCGGAGAAAAGGCAAUCAAUUACAUUGCAGCACUGUCACUUGCACAACUCUCUGACCUUUCUUACUGCCUGAUCCUGUGUGCUCCUGGUUUCUGGAAAAAGAAGACGACAAAAUAUAACAUCAUCGUUCCACCAGUCAUUUUUUCCACAUUCAUUGCACCCAUCUCUCAUUCUUGUCCCUCUAAUCUCUUCAGCAUGUACGUAAAUGGCUCUGGCUUUUGUUUUUACUUUUGUCAAUUGCAAUUUCUGAACACCAAGAAGUAAUAAGCUGAUGACAGGAACCCAGAUUUUGCUCAGGGAGGUGCUUUUUGAUUAUGAAUUUGGAACUUGUCACUGCAAUAAAAUUUGGAACAUUUUAAA
Molecule: long non-coding RNA, 1690 nt
Organism: Rhincodon typus (whale shark)
Lineage: Eukaryota; Metazoa; Chordata; Chondrichthyes; Orectolobiformes; Rhincodontidae
Exons: 4
Source: RefSeq, a predicted model, not a curated record